RNAcentral lists this ribosomal RNA (440 nucleotides) under uncultured bacterium. RNAcentral describes it as "partial 16S ribosomal RNA". It matches the Rfam family "Bacterial small subunit ribosomal RNA", at positions 338 to 795 of the family's 1533-position model. The record is from RNAcentral.
CCUACGGGUGGCAGCAGUGGGGGAUAUUGCACAAUGGAGGGAACUCUGAUGCAGCGACGCCGCGUGAGGGAAGAAGGUUUUCGGAUUGUAAACCUCUGUCUUCGGUGACGAAACGAGACGGUAGCCGAGGAGGAAGCCACGGCUAACUACGUGCCAGCAGCCGCGGUAAUACGUAGGUGGCAAGCGUUGUCCGGAAUUAUUGGGUUUAAAGGGUGCGUAGGCGGAUUUUUAAGUCAGCGGUAAAAUGUCCGGGCUCAACCCGGGCCGGCCGUUGAAACUGGGGAUCUUGAGUGGGCGAGAAGUAUGCGGAAUGCAUGGUGUAGCGGUGAAAUGCAUAGAUAUCACGCAGAACUCCGAUUGCGAAGGCAGCAUACCGGCGCCCGACUGACGCUGAGGCACGAAAGCGUGGGGAUCGAACAGGAUUAGAUACCCGUGUAGUC